AGUGAACGCUGGCGGCGUGCUUAACACAUGCAAGUCGAACGGUAACAGAACUAGCUUGCUAGUUGCUGACGAGUGGCGCACGGGUGAGUAAUAUAUAGUUAAUGUGCCUCGAAGACUGGGAUAGCCACUGGAAACGGUGAUUAAUACUGGAUACUCCUUCUAAUCAUAAGAUUAGUCGGGAAACGUUUUUUCGCUUCGAGAUCAGACUAUAUCCCAUCAGUUUGUUGGUGAGGUAAGAGCUCACCAAGGCAAUGACGGGUAGCGGGUUUGAGAGGAUGAUCCGCCACACUGGUACUGAGACACGGACCAGACUCCUNACGGGAGGCAGCAGUGAGGAAUAUUGCACAAUGGGCGAAAGCCUGAUGCAGCAACGCCGCGUGGAGGAUGACGCAUUUCGGUGUGUAAACUCCUUUUAUAUGUCAAGAAAAUGACGGUAGCAUAUGAAUAAGCACCGCUAAC
This 459-nucleotide ribosomal RNA is filed under the name uncultured bacterium. Its description in RNAcentral is "bacterial SSU rRNA". It matches the Rfam family "Bacterial small subunit ribosomal RNA", at positions 29 to 501 of the family's 1533-position model. The record is from RNAcentral.